RNAcentral lists this ribosomal RNA (963 nucleotides) under Lentilactobacillus buchneri. RNAcentral's name for it is "bacterial SSU rRNA". It matches the Rfam family "Bacterial small subunit ribosomal RNA", at positions 38 to 959 of the family's 1533-position model. Lineage: Bacteria; Bacillati; Bacillota; Bacilli; Lactobacillales; Lactobacillaceae. The record is from RNAcentral.
ACCAUCGGCUCUAUACAUGCAGUCGACGCGUCUCCGUUGAUGAUUUUAGGUGCUUGCACUUGAAAGAUUUAACAUUGAGACGAGUGGCGAACUGGUGAGUAACACGUGGGUAACCUGCCCUUGAAGUAGGGGAUAACACUUGGAAACAGGUGCUAAUACCGUAUAACAACCAAAACCACCUGGUUUUGGUUUAAAAGACGGCUUCGGCUGUCACUUUAGGAUGGACCCGCGGCGUAUUAGCUUGUUGGUAAGGUAACGGCCUACCAAGGCGAUGAUACGUAGCCGACCUGAGAGGGUAAUCGGCCACAUUGGGACUGAGACACGGCCCAAACUCCUACGGGAGGCAGCAGUAGGGAAUCUUCCACAAUGGACGAAAGUCUGAUGGAGCAACGCCGCGUGAGUGAUGAAGGGUUUCGGCUCGUAAAACUCUGUUGUUGGAGAAGAACAGGUGUCAGAGUAACUGUUGACAUCUUGACGGUAUCCAACCAGAAAGCCACGGCUAACUACGUGCCAGCAGCCGCGGUAAUACGUAGGUGGCAAGCGUUGUCCGGAUUUAUUGGGCGUAAAGCGAGCGCAGGCGGUUUUUUAGGUCUGAUGUGAAAGCCUUCGGCUUAACCGGAGAAGUGCAUCGGAAACCGGGAGACUUGAGUGCAGAAGAGGACAGUGGAACUCCAUGUGUAGCGGUGAAAUGCGUAGAUAUAUGGAAGAACACCAGUGGCGAAGGCGGCUGUCUGGUCUGUAACUGACGCUGAGGCUCGAAAGCAUGGGUAGCGAACAGGAUUAGAUACCCUGGUAGUCCAUGCCGUAAACGAUGAGUGCUAAGUGUUGGAGGGUUUCCGCCCUUCAGUGCUGCAGCUAACGCAUUAAGCACUCCGCCUGGGGAGUACGACCGCAAGGUUGAAACUCAAAGGAAUUGACGGGGGCCCGCACAAGCGGUGGAGCAUGUGGUUUAAUUCGAUGCUA